CAGCAGGAUUUAGACUACAAUAUAGCUGCUCAGUGCUUUGUUGUCAUUCUCCCUGCUUAAAUUAAGGUUGUUUCUUAACUAUACCUGUCUGCUUUACCUCUGUAGCAGCCAGGGAUGCUUGGUCUCAUAUAU
Small nucleolar RNA from Dipodomys ordii (Ord's kangaroo rat), 132 nucleotides. Its record names the gene SNORA63. It matches the Rfam family "Small nucleolar RNA SNORA63". From Rfam's summary of the family: E3 belongs to the H/ACA class of snoRNAs and is involved in the processing of eukaryotic pre-rRNA and has regions of complementarity to 18S rRNA. The record is from Ensembl. NCBI's taxonomy places the organism in Eukaryota, Metazoa, Chordata, Mammalia, Rodentia, Heteromyidae.